CAUCCUCCAAGGCUAAAUACUCCUGACUGACCGAUAGUGAACCAGUACCGUGAGGGAAAGGCGAAAAGAACCCCGGCGAGGGGAGUGAAAAAGAACCUGAAACCGUGUACGUACAAGCAGUGGGAGCACAGGUUUACCUGUGUGACUGCGUACCUUUUGUAUAAUGGGUCAGCGACUUAUAUUCUGUAGCAAGGUUAACCGAAUAGGGGAGCCGUAGGGAAACCGAGUCUUAAUCGGGCGUUAAGUUGCAGGGUAUAGACCCGAAACCCGGUGAUCUAGCCAUGGGCAGGUUGAAGGUUGGGUAACACUAACUGGAGGACCGAACCGACUAAUGUUGAAAAAUUAGCGGAUGACCUGUGGCUGGGGGUGAAAGGCCAAUCAAACCGGGAGAUAGCUGGUUCUCCCCGAAAGCUAUUUAGGUAGCGCCUCGUGAAUUCAUCUCCGGGGGUAGAGCACUGUUUCGGCUAGGGGGCCAUCCCGGCUUACCAACCCGAUGCAAACUGCGAAUACCGGAGAAUGUUAUCACGGGAGACACACGGCGGGUGCUAACGUCCGUCGUGAAGAGGGAA
RNAcentral lists this ribosomal RNA (569 nucleotides) under Salmonella enterica subsp. enterica serovar Kentucky. RNAcentral describes it as "partial 23S ribosomal RNA". It matches the Rfam family "Bacterial large subunit ribosomal RNA", at positions 454 to 1021 of the family's 2925-position model. Lineage: Bacteria; Pseudomonadati; Pseudomonadota; Gammaproteobacteria; Enterobacterales; Enterobacteriaceae. The record is from RNAcentral.